GACGAACGCUGGCGGCGUGCUUAACACAUGCAAGUCGAACGGAAAGGCCCUGUUUUUGUGGGGUGCUGGAGUGCCGCACGGGGGAGUAUCACGUGAGUAACCUGUGCUUGUCAUCGGGAGACCUCAAUGAGACACGGGCUCAUACAGGACAUGAGAUCCUGAAGCACGAUGGGGAAUGGAGAGUUUCGGCGGUUGGGGAAGCACUGCCGGUCCAUCGUCUUGUUGGCGGGGUAGUGGCUUACCAGCGCUUCGAGGGGUAGCCGGCCUGGGAAGGUGACCGGCCCCAAUGGGCCUGGGAUACGACCCAGACUCCUACGGGAGGCAGCAGUGGGAAAUAUUGCACGAUGGGCGGAAGCAUGAUGCAGCAACGCCGCGUGCGGGAUGACGGCCUUCGGGUUGUAAACCGCUUUAGCCUGUAACGAAGAGUGAGUGACGGUAAUUGGUAAAGAAGCACCGGCUAACUACGUG
RNAcentral lists this ribosomal RNA (468 nucleotides) under uncultured bacterium. Its description in RNAcentral is "partial 16S ribosomal RNA". It matches the Rfam family "Bacterial small subunit ribosomal RNA", at positions 28 to 507 of the family's 1533-position model. The record is from RNAcentral.